CAAUAGCGUAUAUUAAAGUUGUUGCGGUUAAAAAGCUCGUAGUUGGAUUUCUGCUGAGGACGAUCGGUCCGCCCUCUGGGUGAGUAUCUGGCUCGGCCUUGGCAUCUUCUUGGAGAACGUUACUGCACUUGACUGUGUGGUGCGGUAUCCAGGACUUUUACUUUGAGGAAAUUAGAGUGUUUCAAGCAGGCGCACGCCUUGAAUACAUUAGCAUGGAAUAAUAAGAUAGGACCUUGGUUCUAUUUUGUUGGUUUCUAGAGCUGAGGUAAUGAUUAAUAGGGAUAGUUGGGGGCAUUCGUAUUUAACUGUCAGAGGUGAAAUUCUUGGAUCUGUUAAAGACGGACUACUGCGAAAGCAUUUGCCAAGGAUGUUUUCAUUGA
RNAcentral lists this ribosomal RNA (380 nucleotides) under uncultured eukaryote. RNAcentral's name for it is "partial 18S ribosomal RNA". It matches the Rfam family "Eukaryotic small subunit ribosomal RNA", at positions 592 to 976 of the family's 1831-position model. The record is from RNAcentral.